RNAcentral lists this ribosomal RNA (1131 nucleotides) under Bacillus nakamurai. RNAcentral describes it as "bacterial SSU rRNA". It matches the Rfam family "Bacterial small subunit ribosomal RNA", at positions 338 to 1461 of the family's 1533-position model. The record is from RNAcentral. Lineage: Bacteria; Bacillati; Bacillota; Bacilli; Caryophanales; Bacillaceae.
CCUACGGGAGGCAGCAGUAGGGAUCUUCCGCAAUGGACGAAAGUCCGACGGAGCAACGCCGCGUGAGUGAUGAAGGUUUUCGGAUCGUAAAGCUCUGUUGUUAGGGAAGAACAAGUGCCGUUCAAAUAGGGCGGCACCUUGACGGUACCUAACCAGAAAGCCACGGCUAACUACGUGCCAGCAGGCGCGGUAAUACGUAGGUGGCAAGCGUUGUCCGGAAUUAUUGGGCGUAAAGGGCUCGCAGGCGGUUUCUUAAGUCUGAUGUGAAAGCCCCCGGCUCAACCGGGGAGGGUCAUUGGAAACUGGGGAACUUGAGUGCAGAAGAGGAGAGUGGAAUUCCACGUGUAGCGGUGAAAUGCGUAGAGAUGUGGAGGAACACCAGUGGCGAAGGCGACUCUCUGGUCUGUAACUGACGCUGAGGAGCGAAAGCGUGGGGAGCGAACAGGAUUAGAUACCCUGGUAGUCCACGCCGUAAACGAUGAGUGCUAAGUGUUAGGGGGUUUCCGCCCCUUAGUGCUGCAGCUAACGCAUUAAGCACUCCGCCUGGGGAGUACGGUCGCAAGACUGAAACUCAAAGGAAUUGACGGGGGCCCGCACAAGCGGUGGAGCAUGUGGUUUAAUUCGAAGCAACGCGAAGAACCUUACCAGGUCUUGACAUCCUCUGACAAUCCUAGAGAUAGGACGUCCCCUUCGGGGGCAGAGUGACAGGUGGUGCAUGGUUGUCGUCAGCUCGUGUCGUGAGAUGUUGGGUUAAGUCCCGCAACGAGCGCAACCCUUGAUCUUAGUUGCCAGCAUUCAGUUGGGCACUCUAAGGUGACUGCCGGUGACAAACCGGAGGAAGGUGGGGAUGACGUCAAAUCAUCAUGCCCCUUAUGACCUGGGCUACACACGUGCUACAAUGGACAGAACAAAGGGCAGCGAAACCGCGAGGUUAAGCCAAUCCCACAAAUCUGUUCUCAGUUCGGAUCGCAGUCUGCAACUCGACUGCGUGAAGCUGGAAUCGCUAGUAAUCGCGGAUCAGCAUGCCGCGGUGAAUACGUUCCCGGGCCUUGUACACACCGCCCGUCACACCACGAGAGUUUGUAACACCCGAAGUCGGUGAGGUAACCUUUAUGGAGCCAGCCGCCGAAG